RNAcentral lists this ribosomal RNA (246 nucleotides) under uncultured bacterium. RNAcentral describes it as "partial 16S ribosomal RNA". It matches the Rfam family "Bacterial small subunit ribosomal RNA", at positions 524 to 768 of the family's 1533-position model. The record is from RNAcentral.
UACGAAGGGGGCUAGCGUUGCUCGGAAUCACUGGGCGUAAAGGGUGCGUAGGCGGGUCUUUUAAGUCAGGGGUGAAAUCCUGGAGCUCAACUCCAGAACUGCCUUUGAUACUGAAGAUCUUGAGUUCGGGAGAGGUGAGUGGAACUGCGAGUGUAGAGGUGAAAUUCGUAGAUAUUCGCAAGAACACCAGUGGCGAAGGCGGCUCACUGGCCCGAUACUGACGCUGAGGCACGAAAGCGUGGGGAG